CUCCCCACUGAGCGUGGAGCCCUACGUGGAGCUUGAUGCCAGGAUCCUGAGAUCAUGACCUGAGCCGAAAUCGAGAGUUGGCUGCUUACCUAACUGAGCCACCCAGGUCCCCCGAGACCUGCAUUUCGUGCAUACCUAGUAUAAAGGUUCUAAACUGGGGGACAUGUCCCCUCCAACACUUGGCAAUGCCUGGAGAUAUUUUUGGUUGUCAUAACUUGGGAGGUACUACUGGCGUCUAGUGGGUUAGAGGCAGGGGAUGCUGUGAAACAUCCUACAAGGCACGGGGCGUCCCCCACCAUGAAGAAAUACCUGGUCCCAAAUGCCAGUAGUGCCAGGGUUGAGCAGUCCCACUGCAGUGUGUAUCAGUUUUACAUCACUGGCUAGCUUAACCCAUGAACCAGUCCUGAGACAUUGUACGUCCCGUCUUUCACAGUUUCCUGUAAGAAAACUUACAGGGGAACAGGGCCAAAGCCAGGGAGCUAGUAAGUGCCAGAGUUGGAAUUUGAACUCGUGUCUUCUGUCAGAAUCCAGACACGCCUUCUCUAUUCUCCCUGCUGCAUUUGUUCCUGCAAAGGAAGAGGCAUGCCGGACCGUGGGGUUCUUUUUCUGUAGCGUGGGCUCCAGACUGGAGGAGGCAGGAAGGAAGGUGGUUAUUUAUACACAGCUCUGCAUAGGAUCAAAUAGCUCUGCGUUUUCCGAUCCUGAAGGUCUUACAGUGAGGAUUUCACAGAAAUACGAUCAUUGAGACGUUGGCUUCCCCCUGCAGGUCUAAAUAUGGGAACACAUACUAUCUUUUCCUUUAAAAAUACUACUGUUAAUUUAUAGUAAGAUAAAACACAGGAAUUUUAAUUCCAAACCCUGUUUAUUGCUUGUGCCUAUGAACUAUUGCAGGCCCCCUCAUAGUAAUUUAAUUACUAAGUAUCCCUUUGGGAAGGGAUAACAUGAAGAGGGGAAUUUGGAAGAUCCUAUAGGACUGCUCUGGAUUUAGAGAUAAAUGUAAAAAUACAUUGAUUUGUCAGAGGUAAGGAGCCCUUUUGAGAAUCAGCUUGUUUUAGUGUGAUCUAGAAUGACCGACUGGCUUUUGGUAGCUCAGGAUACAGUUGCUAAUUUUCUAAUGGGGUUUCUAAUUAUUAUCCAGCUCCUGGGCGGAUUUUGGAUGUAUUAGCAGCCUUCCUUGGUAGCUUGUGACAUUGAACCCUCCAUGAUAUCCUAUUAUUGAUAUUUUCAAGGUUAUAUAUUUUAAAAUCUAGCCUUGGAUGGUGAUGUGAUGGAGGCUGCCCCACUGAAAUUGGGGUCGGAACUUUUAUGGGCAUGAUUUGUCUGUUUACAACAGUCCUUGGGUUGUGUGGUCUUAUUUUUUUGCUGGCCACACGGUGCCCUGGUGCUUGGACUGCUGGGGCCAUUUGGUGAGCAUGAAGUUUCUAUCAUUCACCCAUUGGAUCUGUUGUCCUGAGACAGAUGGGGUCUUCAGUCCAGCCAGCGCUUUGGGGGGAGUCCUGUUUGCCGCACCUGCUAAUCUCUUGUCAGUUCUGCUGGAAAGUCAGUGCUCUAGGGAGUACUGAAGGGUGAUCCCAUCAUGGAGGUUGGCAAGCCAACAGCAGAGCCUCCAGCUUUAUGUUGGGGGACUCACGUUCGCAGUAUGGCACACAUGGAUACAAAAUGUGGGUGAAAAUGAUACAAGGAGGACUUAAAACUUCCUUGUUGGCUGCCAUCUUGGUGUUAGUGGUAGCUAGCCUGGAUUACACCACAUUCAGCAUUGAACUUGUGUGGUUUCUGCUUUUCAGAUCCCUUGUUUAGGUUCACAAGCAUAACUCAAAAGUAGUUAUAGGAAGUUUUGAUAAACUGAAGGCAUGAUCAAUGAAAGGAACUCUUGUAAGUAUGUCUCAGUAUUGAGGCAUAACCAUCAACAUAACAAACAUAAUGUUUAUUCACUAUAUUAAUGUUAAUAUUACUCAGUGCUUAACUGAUUGGGCUGAGCUUUUUUCUGCCCCCAAGAUUUCCCAGUGAGGAAGACCUUAUUCUCUAUUGCUUGCCUUGGGAAGAACAGUUAAUUGCGGAUUCCUUUUUGGGAUGGGAAGACUGCAGGUGACAUGAUAAUAGUAUUUUUUAAAGCUUUUAUAAAGUAGACCUCCUUUAGAAAGAAAACAUCAGUGAGGCCGCCACGUGUUGCCUUAAAUUAUUUUUUAUUGUAAUGCUUCUUAAAAUAUGUCUUAACAUAAAAGGAAAAAAACAUGUUUAUAUUGCAUGUAUCACCAUAAUGAUCACUAAAACCAAUGUACAGAUUGAUUACAAAUCUAAUUCCCAGCCUAAUUCAGUUGAACUAGGAUUUUAAUGUGACAGGUGAUGCUGUUUUGCUAAAACCACAGCUCCCGGAUCUGUGUUCAGGAAGUACCUUUACUUCUGUUGUUCAGACUUCCGCACUAGAGCGCAAAGAUGUCUUGUUAGCUGGAGACCCAGCAAGGUACUGCUGCCAUCUUGCCCGUGAAUACAAGCACCGAAAUCAGUGGGAGUACCCAGUUGCAUGAGGUGGCCAUGUAGAGGAUGUCGAAUGUGCUUGUAUUAAUGCGUGAAGGUCGUCAUUGCCGGAGGCUUCUGUGCAAGGGAUGACCAUAAAAUAAGGAACAUCUUCUUAACAGAUCGCCUGGAUGCCCCCCAUCCAGAUGAGCAUUGCCAUUCAAGGUGGUUUCUUGGGAAGGUAACUGUAGGCUUGGCAGAGAGAAAGAGGAUUGUUACUUGCAAAGUGGAGGAGCUCGGUGAGGAAACGAGUAAAUAUGAUUCUGCUGCUCCAAACUUACUGUGAAUGACAGCCCAGUAGAAAGGAAGCUUGAGGCCGCACCACCCCGCAGCCCUUGGUGUCCUGCCACAUCAUUCACUAGUUCACUCCUCAUUCAUGGAACAUUCCCCGAAGCACAACAAGAGUUUCAAAACGUGCCAGGAAACCUAAAACUUAAAAGACCUUCUAAGUUCAUAUCUAUUCUGUUAUCCAUGGGACGUGUUGUUACCAAGUGGGACACACUCCUGUGUCCUGCACGAUGCACUUACCGUUACCUGCGUGUGUCUGUCCAUGCUUCCCUUGGGCCGGAUGCAUGUGGGAUGUGGCUGUUGGCCGAGGGUGGGCUGUCUCAGACAUCUGUGGGUAGCUGAACUGCUGAAGCAAACUUGGCUUUUCAUGUAUGUAUUUUUCAUCUCAUUUACCAGUGUCCCUGGAAGAAGGUCUGCUUCCUCAAUGUGCUAAAACAACAGUUUGAGUAUAGUCAGAACGUGUUUUUCUUAGGACAGAGUGAUUUCAAAUCUCCCCUCCCUUUGAUGAAAAAAAGAGUUCUCAGAACUGCUCUGUCCUUCUUUAGGUCUGUUGGCGACUCUGUGAACUCGUAUUCCUUUUUCAGUUAUGUUUUGGUCAAAUAAUCUCUUCACCAAAUCUUUCAGAAUUUCCUGAAAUACUUAAGGAGCCAUAGCCCGCUAGGGCCGAGGGGAAGCCUUAUUUCCUCAUUUUCCAGCGGAGGGAAGCUACUGCUCUUUCCACCUAAAAUAACUGUAAGGACAUUUCUCCCUCCCUCCCAUGAAGGCUUCUCUUCCUGCGGACAUGUUUUUGGUCUUCUGGUGCAAUUCCAGGUCACCUUUGGCCUCACCCCGAGCCAGGGUUUCUCUUGGAGAUCCUGACCUCACCCCACACCACCUGCUACACCUUUCCCGGAGCCACACCUCUGUGUCCCUUCCUCACUUUACACCCCCCAUCCUCAUCAGGGCCUUUGAUAUCCCUGUGGAUGUGCUUUCUGAUCCCCUGGCCUUGUAAUUUCUCACUGAAGUAAGUCCAAAUGUACUUCUCCUUAAUCCAAGCCCUUGUUGGUUUUGGACGUGCUUCAACUCUGCAGUCUUACCUCCCUGGCCUUACCUCUGUGCUCCACUUUUCCCUUGUCCUUCUAUCUCCAUGGUCUCGGUGGGACAGUGGUACCAGAAAGACCUGGGAAACGUUCCCAAACACUAGAAUAACGGGGAAUGUGGAGGGAAGAUGUGACCCUCAGUAUGGAUGUCUGUAUGUUGGAAAGGUGCCUAGGCCAUGCUGACAUCCCUGCCUGCCCCCAGCCUGGAUUCCCCUGGGUUCUGGCAGUUGUCUUUGGGCCUCACUUCUGUAUUCAGCCCGGACACCUUCAUUGGCUGCUGCCACAGGGCCUUUGCGCUCCCUCCAUACCCUUUAAUCUUGACCCACUGAUGUGCUGUGUUCUUUCUGCUCCUAGCUGCAGGAAAUUGCUGGUGAAGGUCACCAAACUAAGUUGUGUGGGUUUAUCAGAAGUGCGUGCUGCUAACUUUGGCCUGACUAGUCCUGAGACUUUACGGUCCAGCCCCCCUGCUUUUUUUUUUUUUUUUUAAAGAUUUUAUUUAUUUAUGUGACAGAGACAGCCAGUGAGAGAGGGAACACAGCAGGGGAGUGGGAGAGGAAGAAACAGGCUCCCAGCGGAGGAGCCCCGAUGCGGGACUCGAUUCUGGAACGCUGGGAUCACGCCCUGAGCUGAAGGCAGACGCUUAAUGACUGCGCUACCCAGGCGCCCCAGCAGCCCACCUGCCUUUUGUUGCUUCCUGAUUUCAGUUCUCUUAGCCAUUGGGUUGGCCCAGUGGUUCUCACUUCCAGUUGCACCUUAGAGUCGCCUGAGGGAGGUUUAAAACUUUAUUGAGGCUCUGGGGCUCAUGCCCAGAGGUCCUGAUGUCACUGGCCAGGGGCAUGCAGGCUGGGCUUCGGUGGGCUGUGUUUAGAAGCUGUGCAGGUGAUUUUAAGAAGCCAGAGUUGAGAGCCAAUGUCUAUUCUUGUCUGCUCUUCAUCCUCCCUUAAGAGGAUUGCUGUUCUUUUAAGAUCUCUGCUGAUCCUUUGAGGAAGAAAUAUUCUUCUUGCCCACAUCUGACCCUUGCCUGCCUCUGGAUCCCUCUGUUGUCUGCUGUCUUCUGGACCUGAGCCCAUGAAUCCUUUAUUCUGCCUGCACUGACAUCGGCCACAUUGGACGGCCCAAAUAAAAAUGUCAGUCUUGUGAAAGCCAGGGCACCGAGGGGCUAGGGAGGAAACGAGGUGCCUAUCAGGGGAAGUGAAGAGGGUGCCCUCCAGUCUGCCAGGGGCUAGGACCAGCGAAGGGGUGGAUUAGGCAGACUUGGGUUUGAAUCCCGACUCUGCUCCUCAUUGGCUAGUUGUGGUCUCCCUCACUCUUUAAGGAAGUUCAUCACAGUUACUGUAUUGGAUUUUUGAGGAUGGGACUCGGUAACAGCACGGUCCGCUCUUAGCACAUGCCUAGCCCAGAGUGAGUGCUCAGCAGAUGCUCCUUAAAACAUGUCCUUUCCUACCUUCAGAUUCAGGAAAAUAUUCCUUAGUGCAGCACAUGUAUUAUUUUACCCUUUGGUCAGUCCCUUUAUACUUGAAUGGUCCUUACCAUAUUCUGCUUGUGCUGUUUUAUUUAUUUAUUUUUUAAAAAAGAUUUUAUUUAUUUAUUUGACAAGAGAGACAGCCAGAGAGAGAGGGAACACAAGCAGGGGGAGUGGGAGAGGAAGAAGCAGGC
Molecule: long non-coding RNA, 5537 nt
Organism: Ailuropoda melanoleuca (giant panda)
Lineage: Eukaryota; Metazoa; Chordata; Mammalia; Carnivora; Ursidae
Exons: 4
Source: RefSeq, a predicted model, not a curated record